Molecule: ribosomal RNA, 352 nt
Filed under: uncultured bacterium
Lineage: Bacteria
Description: bacterial SSU rRNA
Rfam family: Bacterial small subunit ribosomal RNA
Source: RNAcentral
AGUGUAGUUAACACCUGCAUUAUUUGACGUUACCUACAGAAGAAGCACCGGCUAACUCCGUGCCAGCAGCCGCGGUAAUACGGAGGGUGCGAGCGUUAAUCGGAAUUACUGGGCGUAAAGCGCAUGCAGGCGGCCUGUUAAGUCAGAUGUGAAAGACCCGGGGCGUUAACCUCGGAAUUGCAUUUGAAACUGGCAGGCUAGAGUCUUGUAGAGGGGGGUAGGAAUUUCAGGUGUAGCGGUGAAAUGCGUAGAGAUCUGAAGGAAUACCAGUGGCGAAGGCGGCCCCCUGGACAAAGACUGACGCUCAGAUGCGAAAGCGUGGGGAGCAAACAGGAUUAGAUACCCCUGGUAG